AUGUCGGCUCAUCACAUCCUGGGGCUGUAGCCGGUCCCAAGGGUAUGGCUGUUCGCCAUUUAAAGUGGUACGCGAGCUGGGUUUAGAACGUCGUGAGACAGUU
RNAcentral lists this ribosomal RNA (103 nucleotides) under uncultured gamma proteobacterium EF100_93H11. The record is from RNAcentral. Lineage: Bacteria; Pseudomonadati; Pseudomonadota; Gammaproteobacteria.